Long non-coding RNA from Chrysoperla carnea, 103 nucleotides. RefSeq lists it as uncharacterized. The record is from RefSeq and is a predicted model, not a curated record. NCBI's taxonomy places the organism in Eukaryota, Metazoa, Arthropoda, Insecta, Neuroptera, Chrysopidae. The transcript is spliced from 3 exons.
UUUAAACGAGAAGCUUGAUUUUUUUUAUAUGAAGUUGGACUAAAUCUAAAUCAUUUCUGAAAACUUUAGGGUGGGGGGGGGGCUGCCCCAUUAUUUCAAUAAA